CCUUACACGCUGGCUUCUCACUACCAACGGGGGAAGGUCUGAACGGCGUGCACCAGCUUGCCCCGUGGUUUCCAGGCGGGUCUACCCCACCGUUCUGUACAGAACUUGUUUGGGUGACUUGUGCUCCUCUGCCCAGAGCCGCACACACACACAGUCGUGGGGGGCCCAGUUGGCCUGGGCUCCGAAUCCGGCCUCGGGAUCAGAACUGGCCCGUCUGUUCCUGACGCCAAGAGGGAUUGCCUCACCUCCUUGAGCCGGACCAGGCUGGGCCCCUGGAAUGCAGCCGGGAAGGAAGAGAAAUUUGCAGGCGCCCAGGCUCCUAAAACUGUGAGAUAAGAUAAGAGAAACAAAAAAACCCAGCUCGCUCAGGACCGCACUUAGGCGAACUUAAGGACUAAGCACAGAUCAGGCACAGGCAGCAUCUAUGGCCCUGGAGGGAACACGUGGUUGGGAGCCUCACCUGAGGGGAGGGCGCUCCACCCAGGACCCUCGGUGGGGACCCCAGCCCACUGCGGGCUUCCCCAGCCGGGAGGCUGGAUGUCGUGAGCACCUGAUCUGAGAAGCAAGCCUUCAAGUGCCAGAGAGAAGCAGGAGGAUGCAGCAAUCACGCCUCACUGCUUAGUUCACGCUCCGGAACUUGGCACGGACAAUUCUGGAAACUGGUUAUAACCUCCGGUUCUCUCCCAUCUUCUUCCCCACCAUCCAUGACACUUUGCUCCAGCCCAACUCGGUGAUUUCCCCAGGCCCUAGGAGCUUUCAUUUCUGCACCUUCCCUGAGUCUCCCUCCCCCGCACUCCCACCAGCCGCACUGCCUCACUUCCCCCCUGCCUCCUCUGGUGCCUCCCGCCUCCCCCCUGCCUGUGCUCCCUCUGCCCCAGCAUCGCGUCUACAGCCCCAGGCUGUCGCUGUUAAUGCCCACGCCCUCUCGCCCUGCCUCAGUGAGCACACCAUGGGGACCCAGGAUGAGUGUGACAGACCACCACCCUGCCGGGCCCGGGGCUCAUCGCCAUCCGGGAAACAUCUCAUCGCUCACAGACUGACUUCCAGGAGCCACUCGAUCUGCCCCGCUGGCUCCCCCUCCGGCACCUGCAGGCUGACAGAGGUUCGCGAGAGCAGACGCGGGGAGUCCAGCGCCCCUGUCUGCACAUCUUGAAAAGGGACGGACACAGAACACGGGCCUCUGCUGCGGCCACGGGUGACCAGAUGUCUCCUCUUGCGUCUCAGACAACAGACGACGGUUUGCCGGGACCCGGCCGUGUUCACUCCACGCAGGGAAGGUAGGACCCCACCGUCCCCCAGCGUCCAACGUCACGGCUGGGACGGCUGACACCUUCUUGGCCGGGCCACCUCUGCACGGGACUCGCUGCCCCCAGAAGCUUUCAGAAUUUCUGUCUUACGCCACCGACCUUCGCAGGGGCCCUGGCGCCCUCGCGCUCGGGCCCUCCAGCCUCCGGAUUUUCUUCUGUCACUUCUUUGAUAACUUCUUCUGUUUUCUCUUUCUGAGCCCCUGAGUUUCAUCGAAGCCAACAUCGACACUUCCGAUGCUCACGGGUGGUUUUUAAGAGGAUUUCUGAGCAAAGAGGGAAGACAGACGUCUGCACUCUGCCCCCCUAAAAAUGGGAACUGAGGUAAUAUCGACUUUCUCGCGCGGAUCAGAGCUCCGACGGACAGCCCUCACACGGAGACAUGGGAGGGUGAGGCCUGCUUCUUAAUCGUGGGCCUCGUGGGACACUUUCGAACUGGGCCCCUUGGGAGCGCUGGUGAUGAAAAGAACCUCGUGCAUUCUCAGGGGAAGGAGGGGAGCUCCGUGGAGAGCAAAGCGGCACAGAACCAAGUCCCGGGAAGCCCGGCGUGCCGGGGAAAGGGGGCCCCGGGGGACGUGUGGACAUUGAGAACACAGAAUCCACGGACAGGACUGCCGCGGCCUGGUCAGAACGAGGGUUGUGUCAAACUCUGUCCUGACAUCGUGCCAACGUUUUGCACCUGGUUUUGGCCACGAUCGAAGGCAAACUUGCUAUAACUAACGAGCACAUGUAUUUUUAAGCCACCAAAAGCCAAAGGCCUUCGGUUACGCAACACCCGGACCACUCCUCCUCUAAGACACACUCUGUCCUGCAGGCACGGUCUCCCCUCCCCACAGACGAGCGGGAAGGGACAGUCCUGCCACACGAAUCAUGAUGUAAGGACGGCUGACUCACAGAGGGUUUGCCUCCAGCGACAUCAAGGGCAUCCAUGCCGGUGCCCUGAACCUGCACGACAUCCGUGCUCGCGGCCGUAACUGGGGACACGGGUCAUGCUGCGGGUCGAGAACAAGCCAGACGGAGCCAGGAAGACGUGGCACAAAUGAGGCAGAGAUCGACAUCAUCCCAGAGAGACCCAAGUCUCAGCCUUACGCAAGUUCACGGAAAUCUGACCCUGCAGGCCCAGGGAGGCGCAGGGGAGGGUCCACAGCGGGGUUCCUUUGGGCUUUAUCAGGGUGAGGGGCCCCAGCAGGGCCCCCGCCGUGACCCCAGCCGCCCCCACUGUGCUUCUGCAGGGCUGCUCCACGGCCAGCUGCCGGCCUCGGCGACCCCUUCUCGUUGCCCGUCCUGGAAACUCUUCCCUCUGUCUGUCAAACUC
Molecule: long non-coding RNA, 2619 nt
Organism: Felis catus (domestic cat)
Lineage: Eukaryota; Metazoa; Chordata; Mammalia; Carnivora; Felidae
Exons: 3
Source: RefSeq, a predicted model, not a curated record